RNAcentral lists this transfer RNA (85 nucleotides) under Felis catus (domestic cat). It matches the Rfam family "tRNA". From Rfam's summary of the family: Transfer RNA (tRNA) molecules are approximately 80 nucleotides in length. Their secondary structure includes four short double-helical elements and three loops (D, anti-codon, and T loops). Further hydrogen bonds mediate the characteristic L-shaped molecular structure. tRNAs have two regions of fundamental functional importance: the anti-codon, which is responsible for specific mRNA codon recognition, and the 3' end, to which the tRNAs corresponding amino acid is attached (by aminoacyl-tRNA synthetases). tRNAs cope with the degeneracy of the genetic code in two manners: having more than one tRNA (with a specific anti-codon) for a particular amino acid; and 'wobble' base-pairing, i.e. permitting non-standard base-pairing at the 3rd anti-codon position. Lineage: Eukaryota; Metazoa; Chordata; Mammalia; Carnivora; Felidae. The record is from Rfam by way of RNAcentral.
GCCUGGGUGGCUCAGUCGGUUGAGCAUCCGACUUCGGCUCGGGUCAGGAUCUCACAGUUUGUGAGUUCGAGCCCUACAUCGGGCU